CAGAGAGUAGUUAAACAAGAAUCCUGGCUUUGGGAGCCAGAGGUGGGAGUUGAAAUCUCUCCUUUCUGA
This 69-nucleotide transfer RNA is filed under the name Coryphaenoides armatus. RNAcentral's name for it is "tRNA-Pro". It matches the Rfam family "tRNA". Rfam says of the family: Transfer RNA (tRNA) molecules are approximately 80 nucleotides in length. Their secondary structure includes four short double-helical elements and three loops (D, anti-codon, and T loops). Lineage: Eukaryota; Metazoa; Chordata; Actinopteri; Gadiformes; Macrouridae. The record is from RNAcentral.